GGGGAAACCCACCUUUGAUGGCUAGAAAAAUUAAGCUGUUUUUUUAAGACAGUUUAAUUUUCUAGUCGUCAGAUAAAGGUAUCUACACCUGAAUAAAAUAGGGUGUAAGAAGCAAACGCAGGGAACUGAAACUUCU
This 136-nucleotide ribosomal RNA is filed under the name Bartonella henselae. Its description in RNAcentral is "partial 23S ribosomal RNA". The record is from RNAcentral. Lineage: Bacteria; Pseudomonadati; Pseudomonadota; Alphaproteobacteria; Hyphomicrobiales; Bartonellaceae.